This 500-nucleotide ribosomal RNA is filed under the name uncultured bacterium. Its description in RNAcentral is "partial 16S ribosomal RNA". It matches the Rfam family "Bacterial small subunit ribosomal RNA", at positions 28 to 507 of the family's 1533-position model. The record is from RNAcentral.
GACGAACGCUGGCGGCGUGCCUAAUACAUGCAAGUCGAGCGGACUGAUUAAGAGCUUGCUCUUAUGACGUUAGCGGCGGACGGGUGAGUAACACGUGGGCAACCUGCCCUGUAGAUCGGGAUAACACCGAGAAAUCGGUGCUAAUACCGGGUAAUAUCUGAGAUCACAUGAUCUUAGGUUAAAAGAUGGCUCCGGCUAUCACUACAGGAUGGGCCCGCGGCGCAUUAGCUAGUUGGUAAGGUAAUGGCUUACCAAGGCGACGAUGCGUAGCCGACCUGAGAGGGUGAUCGGCCACACUGGGACUGAGACACGGCCCAGACUCCUACGGGAGGCAGCAGUAGGGAAUCUUCCGCAAUGGACGAAAGUCUGACGGAGCAACGCCGCGUGAGUGAUGAAGGGUUGCGGCUCGUAAAGCGCUGUUGUUAGGGAAGAAACAGUACCGAACGAACUAGGUCGGUACCUUGACGGUACCUAACCAGAAAGCCACGGCUAACUACGUG